AUGCCACGGUGUGGACAUUAUUUUUGCAAAUAUUUAUAUCUCUGCCAGGCCUCAUAAAGGGAUUCCAAUUCAUUUUGUCAGCAAUCAGAUAUCUCAUUUCUGAAUUU
This is a small nucleolar RNA of Beta vulgaris subsp. vulgaris (sugar beet), 107 nucleotides long. The record is from RefSeq and is a predicted model, not a curated record. Lineage: Eukaryota; Viridiplantae; Streptophyta; Magnoliopsida; Caryophyllales; Amaranthaceae.